RNAcentral lists this long non-coding RNA (868 nucleotides) under Mytilus galloprovincialis (Mediterranean mussel). Lineage: Eukaryota; Metazoa; Mollusca; Bivalvia; Mytilida; Mytilidae. The record is from RNAcentral.
UUUGCUGCAUGUUUAUCAAAAUUAAAAAAAUUGCGCUAUUUACAGUUUUAUAAAAUUUGGGUCACAUAAUCUCCUUGCAAAAUGAAACAAAUUGCUGUUUUAAAAAAUAGGGGUCCAUGCACUCGUUUUCAAAUUAAAUCAGUUUGAAUGAUAAAAAUCAGUCGAAAAAUGCAUCUUUUCCCGAUAUGUCAUAGUUUGACGUCGCGAAAAUAACAUUUUACGUUAGCAACGUCAUUACCUUCCCUGUAACUGUAUCGUAUGCCCUUAAAAGUUCUGGAAUAGAAUUUCAUUUGUAACCAGAUGCUCCGCAGGGCGCAGCUUUAUACGACCGCAGAGGUUGAACCCUGAACGGUUGGGGCAAGUAUGGACACAACAUUCAAGCUGGAUUCAGCCCUAAAUUUGGAUUGUGAUUAAAUAGUUGACACAGUAUAGGUUUCUGACACAGAAUGAAUGUGGUCUAAUGAACUUAAAAUACUUUUUUUUCCUUUGAGCAAUUCACUAUGCUGUUGAAUAUUAAUCCUCUCAAAAAAAUGUUUGAAGAAAUUUUCUUUUUAUUUAUGAAAUCUGAAAUGAGAAAAAUUUACCCCCCCCCCCCAUUUUUUUUUUUCACAUCCCCCUUUCCCUUUUUCCAAAACUGAUCUCAAUUCAAAAUUUCUAAUGGAGUUUGCAACAAUAACUACUCAUUUAAAUACAUCAUAAAAUAUUAAAAUGUAACAAAAGGUGCUUGUUAUCACUGAAUGGUAAAGAUUGUUUUAAUUUAUCAGUUGGUAGUAAAAGUGAAUAUACAUUGUAUAUUGUAUAAAACAAUGAUUUUAAGUUGAUUCAACUACUAUUCUGGACAAAGAAAGAUAACUCCAAUCAAUUGAAA